RNAcentral lists this unclassified non-coding RNA (209 nucleotides) under Hevea brasiliensis (rubber tree). Lineage: Eukaryota; Viridiplantae; Streptophyta; Magnoliopsida; Malpighiales; Euphorbiaceae. The record is from RNAcentral.
UUUAGCACCAGUUUCAAUUCCUGAUAGCCCAGCCGCUGUCAUGCUUUCAUUAAACAGAUCAUGCCUCCAUAUCAAAUCUUUUGCUCUGUUGAAAGACUUGGCAAUCAUGUAUGGAGAUGAUCGGGUGUUAACCCUAAGAGCAGCCUCGUGUCGAGGCAUCCCCACUGGCCGUCCACCUCCUUGUCCACGGCCCCAACCACGGCCUCGAG